ACGGAACGCCUCCAAGCCAAACAUCCUGCUGGUCUUGGCAGAUGAUCCCAGCAUCGGGGAUGUUGGUUGCUAUGGGAACCUUACACUGAGUGAUUUGAACCUUCAUGCCAGGAGAGC
This 117-nucleotide long non-coding RNA is filed under the name Ictidomys tridecemlineatus (thirteen-lined ground squirrel). RNAcentral's name for it is "lncRNA (ENSSTOG00000029938.1)". The record is from RNAcentral. Lineage: Eukaryota; Metazoa; Chordata; Mammalia; Rodentia; Sciuridae.